CACCGGCCGUCGUUACUACCGAUUGAGUGAUUUGGUGAGGUCUUCAGACUGACUCUCGAAACGGCUUUUGGGUCGCGUCCGCGUGGCGGAAAGAUUACCAAACAUGAUCAUUUAGAAAAAGUAAAAGUCGUAACAAGGUUUCCGUAGGUGAACCUGCGGAAG
Molecule: non-coding RNA, 162 nt
Filed under: Stegodyphus mimosarum
Lineage: Eukaryota; Metazoa; Arthropoda; Arachnida; Araneae; Eresidae
Description: eukaryotic small subunit ribosomal RNA
Rfam family: Eukaryotic small subunit ribosomal RNA
Source: Rfam by way of RNAcentral